This 491-nucleotide ribosomal RNA is filed under the name uncultured Oxalobacteraceae bacterium. Its description in RNAcentral is "partial 16S ribosomal RNA". The record is from RNAcentral. Lineage: Bacteria; Pseudomonadati; Pseudomonadota; Betaproteobacteria; Burkholderiales; Oxalobacteraceae.
AUAAAUGGGGCGAAGCUGAUGCAGCCAUGCCGCGUGAGUGAGAAGGCCUUCGGAUUGUAAAGCUCUUUUUUAGGGAAGAAGGGUUCCUGGCCCAUACCUGUUUGUUUUUACCUUACCAAUAAAAAACGCCCAAGUCAAUACUAUCAGACCCGGCGCUAUAAUAAAUGUUUCAUCCAGUUCCAGCAGCCGCGGUAAAGAAGCAUUAAGGUGCGUCCACAACUCUGUGGACACGCAGGGCGUACCUCACGGGCGUUUUCGCUAAUGGCACGGGCCAUGGAUCGAAUGGAUCCGGGGUUUUUGGCCUCAGUGAAGUAAAAAGGUACUGGAUCAUCGCUUGAGGCAUGCGGGGUGCCGGCGGCUUGAACGGGCUUUCUUCUGAAUUGAUUCUGAGGAUGCAGUCCGAGGCGGGUCUGCCCCUCUGCAUCACGCCACCAAGUGUUCCCUUAGUUCGAGCGCGGGGGGUGGGUGGGGGUGCACCCCGCGGGUGGUUG